This is an RNA transcript of Glycine soja, 2768 nucleotides long. It is a transcript of the gene named pentatricopeptide repeat-containing protein At1g08070, chloroplastic-like, with no coding region annotated. The record is from RefSeq and is a predicted model, not a curated record. The transcript is spliced from 2 exons. NCBI's taxonomy places the organism in Eukaryota, Viridiplantae, Streptophyta, Magnoliopsida, Fabales, Fabaceae.
GGGUACUAUAGACAUUGCAAAAUGUUGGUGUUGUAUUAAUUUGUAUUAGUAGAGGGAUUUAGGACAUUUGCAAUUAGUCACAAACUUGGAAGCUCCUUCGACAGUCACUGCCAAGUUCAAGCUUUUAGUUAGUGAUGUUUUUGUUUUCUUGCUACUAGGGAAAAAAAAAAAAAAAAACCCUUAAAACCAACAUUAAUCAAUGGGAGCGGAGUCUUGUAUUGAUCUGUUGUUGAGAUGCAGAAACGUUUUCCAUAUUAGACAAGUUCAUGCCCAUGUUGUAGCCAAUGGAACUCUCCAAGACUUGGUUAUUGCAAACAAGCUCCUUUACACCUAUGCCCAACACAAGGCCAUUGAUGAUGCAUAUUCCCUGUUUGAUGGAUUGACAAUGAGAGACUCCAAAACUUGGAGUGUCAUGGUUGGUGGGUUUGCCAAGGCUGGAGACCAUGCAGGUUGCUAUGCCACCUUCAGGGAGCUUCUGAGGUGUGGUGUAACGCCUGAUAACUACACUUUGCCUUUUGUAAUAAGAACUUGCAGAGACAGAACGGACCUUCAAAUUGGUCGCGUGAUCCACGACGUGGUUUUGAAACAUGGGUUGCUUUCGGAUCAUUUUGUUUGUGCCUCCCUUGUGGACAUGUAUGCCAAGUGCAUAGUGGUUGAGGAUGCUCAGCGGUUGUUUGAGAGAAUGCUCAGUAAGGACCUUGUGACUUGGACAGUGAUGAUUGGUGCUUAUGCAGAUUGCAAUGCGUACGAGUCAUUGGUCUUGUUUGAUCGGAUGAGGGAAGAAGGUGUUGUUCCGGACAAGGUUGCUAUGGUGACUGUUGUCAAUGCCUGUGCUAAACUGGGGGCUAUGCACAGAGCUAGGUUUGCUAAUGAUUACAUUGUGAGAAAUGGUUUCUCGUUGGAUGUGAUAUUGGGGACUGCAAUGAUUGAUAUGUAUGCAAAGUGUGGGAGUGUUGAGUCUGCAAGAGAGGUUUUUGAUAGAAUGAAGGAAAAAAAUGUUAUUUCAUGGAGUGCCAUGAUUGCUGCAUAUGGGUAUCAUGGGAGGGGGAAGGAUGCCAUUGAUUUGUUUCAUAUGAUGUUGAGCUGUGCAAUAUUGCCAAAUAGGGUCACUUUUGUGUCCCUCUUAUAUGCAUGUAGUCAUGCAGGACUUAUUGAAGAGGGGCUUCGGUUUUUCAAUUCGAUGUGGAAAGAACAUGCCGUUAGACCUGAUGUCAAACAUUAUACCUGUAUGGUUGAUCUUCUGGGCCGUGCUGGGAGGCUAGAUGAGGCUUUAAGAUUGAUUGAGGCCAUGACUGUUGAAAAAGAUGAAAGGCUGUGGAGUGCUUUGCUUGGGGCAUGUAGAAUUCAUAGCAAGAUGGAGUUGGCAGAAAAGGCUGCUAAUUCUCUACUUGAACUACAGCCGCAAAAUCCGGGACACUAUGUGCUACUAUCUAAUAUUUAUGCAAAAGCUGGUAAGUGGGAAAAGGUUGCAAAAUUUAGGGAUAUGAUGACCCAAAGAAAGCUGAAAAAAAUUCCUGGAUGGACAUGGAUUGAAGUGGAUAAUAAAACCUAUCAGUUUAGUGUUGGAGACAGAUCCCAUCCUCAAUCCAAGGAGAUCUAUGAGAUGUUGAUGAGUUUGAUUAAGAAGUUGGAGAUGGCUGGAUAUGUACCUGAUACAGAUUUUGUGUUGCAAGAUGUUGAGGAGGAAGUUAAGCAAGAAAUGUUGUACACACAUAGUGAAAAGUUAGCUAUUGCAUUUGGCCUAAUUGCUAUCCCUGAGGGUGAACCCAUUAGGAUCUCCAAAAAUUUGAGGGUCUGUGGUGACUGUCACACAUUUAGUAAGAUGGUUUCAUCCAUUAUGAGAAGGUCCAUAAUCGUUAGGGAUGCAAAUCGCUUUCACCAUUUUAAUGAUGGGACUUGUUCAUGUGGGGACUAUUGGUAGCAUGAUGACAGAGUACUGGUUAAUUUCCUGUGUCCAACAAAAUACUAUCAUGCUUACCAAGUACCGAAGAUAUAUGAUAAUUUUGAAAUGUAUUUGUUGACUACAACAGAUGGGUACUUGGUGAGUUUAGUGUUCAUAUUGGUCUUUUGCAGGUUCACACCAAAGAGAUAUCAUAUGACUAUUUGUGCGUGUAAAACAUCAGUCCAACUUGAGUAGUUAUUACAAGCAUGUAUGGAAAAAAAAUACAUGCUGAUAUAAUCUGCAUGGAAGCUUGGUGUCUUACUAUUAAUCAUUGUCUCAUCAGAAAUAUGAAUGAGAAAGAUGUUUCAAUAUCAAGAAAAAGAGUUCUCAGAUUGAUUCUCUCCACAAGAUUAAUGUGCCAUCAGAAUAUGGUUCACUCAAUGACUGUGCUUAAUUAUAAUUCCUGAAGCUUAAUUUCAAAUUUUGGGCCACUGUAUAAUCUGUUGGUGAAUUUUGCUCUAGUAAUGCAAUUCAAUAUUGAUGGUAUAUUUUGCUAGGGAAGAAGUUCUCAUCUCUUUCAUGAACAAGGCAUGGUUACUUGUGCUCAUUCUACCACUGCUUCGAGUAUGACCGAUAAAUUUGAGAAACAUUGACCGGCAAGGAUGAAUUUAUUAUCACUACUGUGAAACCAAGUUUCGUUUUGUCAAAAUCUGAUUCUCUUGUUCUGGAAAACCUGUGAAUCAAAUUGCUGCCGAUUUGUUAGUUCACCGAACCAAUUUACUAUUUGAGUAUGAAAUUUAGUGUAACUUUUGCAAAUCAUUGCUCAAUUGAUGUCUAGUUUAUGCUGUCAGUUUCACGUGUCUUAUAAUUAAAUUUAGGGUCACAA